UAGUAAUCGUAGGUCACGCAUACUACGGUGAAUACGUUCCCGGGCCUUGUACACACCGCCCGUCAAACCAUGAGAGUUGGCAACACCCGAAGUCGGUAGUCUAACCGCAAGGGGGCGCGGCCGAAGGUGGGUCCGGUAAUUGGGGUGAAGUCGUAACAAGGUACC
Molecule: ribosomal RNA, 165 nt
Filed under: uncultured bacterium
Lineage: Bacteria
Description: partial 16S ribosomal RNA
Rfam family: Bacterial small subunit ribosomal RNA
Source: RNAcentral